GAAAUGCGAUAAGUAAUGCGAAUUGCAGAAUUCCAGUGAGUCAUCGAAUCUUUGAACGCACAUUGCGCCCUUUGGUAUUCCGAAGGGCAUGCCUGUUCGAGCGUCAUUAUCACCCCUCAAGCCCUGUGCUUGGUGUUGGACGGCCGGUCGAGCGAUCGACCCCUCCUAAAGACAAUGACGGCGGCCUGUGGUUCCCCCGGUACACUGAGCUUUUCACCGAGCACGUACCGGACCAGGGCACCCGGGACCCGGUCCUCUCCUUUAAAGGAAACUUCUCAAGGUUGACCUCGGAUCAGGUAGGAAUACGCGCUGAACUUAA
Molecule: unclassified non-coding RNA, 319 nt
Filed under: uncultured Cladophialophora
Lineage: Eukaryota; Fungi; Ascomycota; Eurotiomycetes; Chaetothyriales; Herpotrichiellaceae
Description: sequence contains ITS1
Rfam family: 5.8S ribosomal RNA (bases 1-106)
Source: RNAcentral